GAGGUGGGAGGAUUGCUUGGCCCUGGGAGGUUGAGGCUACAGUGAGCUGUGAUUGCACCACUGCACUCCAGCCUGAGUGACAGAGUGAGACCCUGUCUCA
RNAcentral lists this microRNA precursor (100 nucleotides) under Saimiri boliviensis boliviensis (Bolivian squirrel monkey). Its description in RNAcentral is "miRNA (ENSSBOG00000008080.1)". Lineage: Eukaryota; Metazoa; Chordata; Mammalia; Primates; Cebidae. The record is from RNAcentral.